This is a regulatory RNA element of 135 nucleotides. It matches the Rfam family "Ribosomal protein L20 leader". From Rfam's summary of the family: This family is a putative r-protein leader autoregulatory structure found in B. subtilis and other low-GC Gram-positive bacteria. It is located in the 5' untranslated regions of mRNAs encoding initiation factor 3 followed by ribosomal proteins L35 and L20 (infC-rpmI-rplT). The record is from Rfam.
AAAGCAAAGCAGAAGCAACCCGCUUCUCGCCUUAGUAAAAUUGUUUACUGGGCAUGAUAUCGAGUCAGGACUGAUCACUUGUGAACAGUCUUGUAAUUGAGCGGGCGCACUGUGUGCCCGCUUUUUUCUGCUUUU